UACGGGGGGGGCAAGCGUUGUUCGGAAUUACUGGGCGUAAAGGGCUCGUAGGCGGCCGACUAAGUCAGACGUGAAAUCCCCCGGCCUAACCGGGGAACUGCGUCUGAUACUGGACGGCUUGAAUUCGGGAGAGGGAUGCGGAAUUCCAGGUGUAGCGGUGAAAUGCGUAGAUAUCUGGAGGAACACCGGUGGCGAAGGCGGCAUCCUGGACCGACAUUGACGCUGAGGAGCGAAAGCCAGGGGAGCAAACGGG
RNAcentral lists this ribosomal RNA (253 nucleotides) under uncultured bacterium. RNAcentral describes it as "partial 16S ribosomal RNA". It matches the Rfam family "Bacterial small subunit ribosomal RNA", at positions 524 to 776 of the family's 1533-position model. The record is from RNAcentral.